UUUUGGCUCAUAGAUUCAAUUGUUUUAUCCCA
Molecule: non-coding RNA, 32 nt
Filed under: Mus musculus (house mouse)
Lineage: Eukaryota; Metazoa; Chordata; Mammalia; Rodentia; Muridae
Source: RNAcentral